CGGAACGUCGAGUGGCAGUCGUGUGUCGAUUGUUGAGCGGCGGUCGCACAUAUGUGAAAAAUAAAUAUCUUAAUUUUAAUUGAAUUAAGACAAUAACAACAACGAUUUCUGGGACUCGGUUGCCUUGCCAUAUGUGACACACAGCACACACAUGCGCCCGUAAAGUCAGAACUCUGUUUCAGCGCGAAUGCGGGUGCACAACAGUGAAAUUUCGCAGCGACAAGUGGAAAAGAAAACGGAGAAAGGUAGCACAAGAGCCAAACGAAAAUCCUGGUCAUGUCGUUGGAAUUCGAGAUCAGCAGCUCUUGCAACCACAACAACAACACAAACACGUAUGGCCAUGCGAACAACAACUGCAUCAUGCUGAAGUUAUUGCCCGCUUCCUCCGCACCCGCCUUCCCUCAGCUGAUCCAGGCCAGCUGUUCCAAUGUCGUGGAGUUGGAUUCACCAGAUAGCAGUGCGGGGACAGCAAACAUAUCCGAAGCUCCCUCCGCCGCCCAGCGUACACCGGACACGUCGGAGGACAGCGAAUGUGACUCGUUUCUCGCCACUCGGAGAGCUACCCGCUCCUCCUCUGUGCUACGCAACCGGAAGCGCAACUCGUGGUGGGGACGAGCCCACAGCAUUCUUUUCCACAACUGGUAUCUGGGCUGCCUGGUGCCCGCCUCCAUUCUGGGGGUUCUCAUCUUUAUCGGAUGGACGACGCGGGACUACGCCCGCCAAUUGCUCUUCUGGAUCGAAAUGCAGAACGCCUGGAUAACAUUUGCCGUCUACAUGGGACUCUUUGCUCUGGUCAGCUUCCCCGUGGUGGUGGGAUACUUCGUACUGCUCAUCACCGCCGGCUAUCUAUUCGGCUGCCUGCGCGGUUGGGUCACCGUGAUUCUGGGUGCCAAUCUCGGCAUCGCCGUGGCACAUGCCACCAUUCGCGGCUGCCGGCACCGCAUUCCCGUGCAAAGGCUGAUCAAGAAUGACACGGGGCGAGCUAUUCUCCGGGUGAUAUCUGGCCCAAAGGCAUUUCGGGUCGUUCUCUUUACCCGACUUACCCCCAUUCCUUUUGGAGUACAGAAUGUAAUAUUCGGAUCUAUUAUUUUCCCAGAUCAGUUCCAUUAAUACAAGAGACUACCAUGUGGCCACGCUGAUUGGGUUGCUGCCAGCCCAAACCAUCAAUGUUUACUUGGGUUCCACGCUGAGGUCUAUGCACGAAGUGCUUAGCGAUAACGAAACCAAACUGACGGGAUAUAUCAGCUUUGUGUUUGAGGUAAUUUGUGGCGUGGCCUUGAUGUUCUGGGUAUUGCAGAAGGCAAGGAAGGAGCUGUCUGAGACGCUGCUUAACGCUGAUUACAACAACGAGGGCAAGCAUCCUGACGUACAAGUU
This 1375-nucleotide unclassified non-coding RNA is filed under the name Drosophila yakuba. RNAcentral's name for it is "GE22635". The record is from RNAcentral. Lineage: Eukaryota; Metazoa; Arthropoda; Insecta; Diptera; Drosophilidae.